CUCAGAACGAACGCUGGCGGCAGGCCUAACACAUGCAAGUCGAGCGAACCCUUCGGGGUUAGCGGCGGACGGGUGAGUAACGCGUGGGAAUAUGCCCUUUGCUACGGAAUAGCCCCGGGAAACUGGGAGUAAUACCGUAUACGCCCUUUGGGGGAAAGAUUUAUCGGCAAAGGAUUAGCCCGCGUUGGAUUAGGUAGUUGGUGGGGUAAUGGCCUACCAAGCCGACGAUCCAUAGCUGGUUUGAGAGGAUGAUCAGCCACACUGGGACUGAGACACGGCCCAGACUCCUACGGGAGGCAGCAGUGGGGAAUCUUAGACAAUGGGGGCAACCCUGAUCUAGCCAUGCCGCGUGAGUGAUGAAGGCCCUAGGGUUGUAAAGCUCUUUCAGCUGGGAAGAUAAUGACGGUACCAGCAGAAGAAGCCCCGGCUAACUCCGUGCCAGCAGCCGCGGUAAUACGGAGGGGGCUAGCGUUGUUCGGAAUUACUGGGCGUAAAGCGCACGUAGGCGGACCGGAAAGUUGGGGGUGAAAUCCCGGGGCUCAACCUCGGAACUGCCUUCAAAACUAUCGGUCUGGAGUUCGAGAGAGGUGAGUGGAAUUCCGAGUGUAGAGGUGAAAUUCGUAGAUAUUCGGAGGAACACCAGUGGCGAAGGCGGCUCACUGGCUCGAUACUGA
This 674-nucleotide ribosomal RNA is filed under the name Paracoccus sp. (in: a-proteobacteria). RNAcentral's name for it is "bacterial SSU rRNA". It matches the Rfam family "Bacterial small subunit ribosomal RNA", at positions 23 to 743 of the family's 1533-position model. The record is from RNAcentral. Lineage: Bacteria; Pseudomonadati; Pseudomonadota; Alphaproteobacteria; Rhodobacterales; Paracoccaceae.